UAGAAGUCAGGUCGGAUUAAGCCAUAGUACGGAAAAAACUAUGCUACCUGUGAGCCCCGUCCAAGGACGUUAAAAGAAGUCAGGCCAUCACAAAUGCCAUAGCUUGAGUAAACUAUGCUGCCUGUAGCUCCACCUGAGAAGGUGUAAAAAAUCUGGGAGGCCACAAACCAUGGAAGCUGUACGCAUGG
This 188-nucleotide long non-coding RNA is filed under the name dengue virus type 2. Its description in RNAcentral is "Dengue virus 2 partial sfRNA1". Lineage: Riboviria; Orthornavirae; Kitrinoviricota; Flasuviricetes; Amarillovirales; Flaviviridae. The record is from RNAcentral.